CGCGAUGGGUGGAGAAGGAGAGGAAGAAGGUGGAGAGGAGGGUAGCCGCGACGGGUAGAGAGGGAGAGGAAGAAGGCGGAGGGAGUGGUAACCGCAAGAGAUGGAGAGGGGGAGGAAGAUGGAGUUCGACGGUCGUGAGGGUGUUCGACCGCUCGACGCUGCUGGCAGCUUGCCGUUGACGACGCUUCCAAGUCGUGGCCACACAGCUGGCCACAACACCUGCCCUCUUCGGUGACCGCGACACCUGUCCUCUCGGGUGGCCACCAAGCUGAAGCUGCUGUGGGUAACGGACCCGGGCCGAGUACCACCACGACCUUGAACGAGUACUGCACGACGUUAACGAACGCCCGGCUCGAUCCUUGUACCGCUACGGCCUUCGCUUCCGACGUCGGUACCUCUCGCCCCCGCCGGUACCGCUCACCUGCGUGCUCGCCAGCCGCUCGUGCCCACCGCCCGCACCACCGUGUCCACCGUUCGUUCGUACCCUUCGGCUGCUGUUCGCGUCCACCGGCUGCUCGCACGCUCUAGGUCACACACGCGUGCUGACGGAAAAGAAAAAAAAAGAAGCAUGCACAAACUGAAAAAUUCUCUUUCGUUAGACUGCCACUGCUUUCCAACAUAGCCUGCAA
This 629-nucleotide ribosomal RNA is filed under the name Triticum aestivum (bread wheat). RNAcentral describes it as "partial small subunit ribosomal RNA". The record is from RNAcentral. Lineage: Eukaryota; Viridiplantae; Streptophyta; Magnoliopsida; Poales; Poaceae.